This 73-nucleotide transfer RNA is filed under the name Scleropages formosus (Asian bonytongue). Its description in RNAcentral is "tRNA-Arg". It matches the Rfam family "tRNA". Rfam says of the family: Transfer RNA (tRNA) molecules are approximately 80 nucleotides in length. Their secondary structure includes four short double-helical elements and three loops (D, anti-codon, and T loops). Lineage: Eukaryota; Metazoa; Chordata; Actinopteri; Osteoglossiformes; Osteoglossidae. The record is from RNAcentral.
GGCUCUGUGGUGUGAUGGCUAGCCUGUUAGACUUCUAUUCAAAAGUUGUGGGUUCAAGUCCCUCCCAGAACUG